GACGAACGCUGGCGGCGUGCUUAACACAUGCAAGUCGAACGGAAAGGCCCCUUUGGGGGUACUCGAGUGGCGCACGGGUGAGUAACACGUGAGUAACCUGCCCUUGACUUCGGGAUAACUUCAGGAAACUGGGGCUAAUACCGGAUAGGAAUCCUUGCUGCAUGGUGGGGGUUGUAAAGCUUCGGCGGUUUUGGAUGGACUCGCGGCUUAUCAGCUUGUUGGUGGGGUAGUGGCUUACCAAGGCUUUGACGGGUAGCCGGCCUGAGAGGGCGACCGGCCACAUUGGGACUGAGAGACGGCCCAGACUCCUACGGGAGGCAGCAGUGGGGAAUAUUGCACAAUGGGCGGAAGCCUGAUGCAGCAACGCCGCGGGCGGGAUGACGGCCUUCGGGUUGUAAACCGCUUUCAGCAGGGGAGAAGCUUGUGGUGACGGUACCUGCAGAAGAAGCACCGGCUAACUACGUG
This 465-nucleotide ribosomal RNA is filed under the name uncultured bacterium. RNAcentral's name for it is "partial 16S ribosomal RNA". It matches the Rfam family "Bacterial small subunit ribosomal RNA", at positions 28 to 507 of the family's 1533-position model. The record is from RNAcentral.